AUUGCUGGGUUCAGUCUCCUUUGGGGUUGGACUAUAGGAUUAUACUCAUUCUCCAUAAUAAUCAUGUGCAUACAAAUAGCUGGACUGAUUCCUUUUAUGCUAGGUAUAGUCCACCCUAAGGCUCUUUUGUGUUUUCUCAGGACUUCAAUCAGUUUGCCUUCCUGUUCUAUAGUCAAAGAAGAUGAAAUGAUUACUGAAAAUAAUUCAGGCUCAAGAAACACAUAUUUUAAAUAAGAAGGAAGAUCUUUGAGUUCAAUUUUUAAUUGAACUCCUUCUUAUGAGACUUUCUCAUUUUCUGACUCUUUUUCCAGUAUUUUAGCUUAUUCUCUAAUUAUGGGGUAAUCAUCACUUAUGGUACCUGACCUAGCCAAACAUCUUUCCAGUGAAUCAGUAAUUAACUAAUUAUCUUUGUAAUUCGUCUACAAGGUCAUAUAGUACAUCAAUUUGAAAACAAGAUGAUGAUGACUCAUCCCCAAGGAAUUUCAUCAUUUUCUGCAUGUCAAAAAUCACUCUUUCCUCAUCAACUCGCAAUAUUUAUUGUCCUUGAUGAACAUCAAUAAUUGGUCUCCCUAUUGCAAGAAAUGGUCUACCUAAAAUUAAUGGUACCUCAGUAUUUUCUUCCAUUUCAAGCACUAUAAAAUCUAUUGGGAAUACAAAUUUGUCAACUCUAACAAGGAUAUUUUCAAUAAUUCCUUUUGGUCUCUUAGUACUUUGAUCAGCUAAUUGAAGAGACACACCAGUAUCUUUCAUUUUACCAAGUUCUAGUUUCCUGAAAAUUGAAAAAGGCAUUAGAUUUAUUGAAGCACCUAAAUCACAUAACACUUUUUCAAAAUGAGCACCUCCCAUGGUACAAGGAAUUGUAAAACUUCCCGGAUCACCCAAUUUCUGUGGGAGCUUAUUUUUAAGUAUAGCACUACAUUUUUCUGUAAGCUUAACCACUGAAACAUCUUCCAAUUUUCUUUUACUUGAUAAAAUUUCUUUGAGAAAUUUAGCAUAUGAAGGCAUUUGCAUCAAAGCAUCUGUGAAAGGUAUGUUAAUGUAAAGUUGCUUCAAAAUAUCUAGAAAAUUUAAAAACUGUUUGUCAAGCUUUUCUCUUUUCAUCUUUUGGGGGAAAGGGAGAGGUACAGAGUGAGGAUUUGUUAUCAAUUCAUUUUCUAGUACAUUUUUCCCUUUAUUCUUUUAUUUUUUUGGAAACUUAGAUUCCAUUUUAUUCUCACCUUCAUUUACCUUUUCCACUUCUUGUGGCUUUUCUUCUCUAUCUGCGUAUAGAUCAUCAAGAGAUUUACCUGAUCGUAGAGAGAUGGAUUUAAGGUAUUCUUUUGGGUUUUUCUCUAUGUUGCUUGGUAGAGCACCUUGAGUUUGUCCAGACAUGAGGGUUGCUAAUUGGCUUACCUGAAUUUCCAAAUUCUUGAUAACUGAAUGUUGACUUUCAACCUUCUCGUCAAUAGCCUUAAUGAAUUUGUACAUCAGAUUUUCAAGGCUUUGUUGAUGAGCUCUUUGAGGCUGCUGCUGAUAUUGUUGAAAAUUUUGUUUCCCUCAAUUUUGAUUUUAAAAACAAGGAAGUUCAUGUACCUGCUGCUUUUAAUUAAAAAAUCUUUGAGGAUUUUCAGUACCAUUAGGAUCACUCCAUUGAAAUCCUGGAUGUUUUUGUGCCAUGGGACUACCGAAUGAGUGAUUAUUUCUAUAACCAAUCACAUUUACUUGUUCCUCAUUUUGCGUUGAAGCUUGACAUUCAUGAUUCGGAUGAUUACCUUUACAAAAAUCACAAUUCUCAAGUUGGGAUGAUGAUAGAGCACCUGCCUGAAAAGCUUUGACUUUUUGUGUUAAGGUCGCAAUUUGUUGUGCUAAUGAAUUCAAAGCUUCAAUUUGAUUUACUCCUGCCGUUUUCUUGAUAAUCAUUCUGUUUGAGGGCCAUUGAACAACAUUUUUCGAAAUUUCAUUAAGUAUUUGCAUUUCUUCUGCAGUGGUUUUUUUCAUUAUUGAUCCUCCUGAUGCUGCAUCAAUUACAUUUCUAGCAGAGGACUUAAGACAGUGAUAAAAAAUGUAUAAAAUGUCAGGGUCUUGGAUACCAUGAUGUGAGCAUUUUCUUAACAUUGCUGCUAAUCUUUCCCAUGUCUGAUAUACAGAUUCAGUAUUUGUCUGCAUAAAAUUAUUGAUUUCUUAUUUUAUUUUAAUAGUCUUUACAGGUGAAAAAUAUUUAUUAAGAAAUUUUUGGGUCAUUUGGUCCCAUGUUAUAAUAGAACCUCUUGGUAGGCUUCGCAACCAUGUUUUGGCUUCCCUUUUUAAAGAAAAAGGAAAAAGUCGUAACCUAAUAGCGUCUGUUGUAACACUAUUGUACCUGCAAGUUUUAACUAAUUCAAGAAAAUCAAUUAAAUGGGCAUGGGGAUCUUCACUUCCAUCACUAGUAAACUGACAUAACUGUUGGACAGUCUGAAUCAAGCCUGUGCGGAUUUCAAAGUUAUUUGCUGCUAUUGGUGGUCUCUUUACACUUGAUUCUCCAUCAAAAUGAUCUGGUCUUGCAUAAUCACGGAGUAUUCUAUCACGUCGUGGUACCACCUCAUCAAACUGUUCUUCUACUUGAUGUGGUGGAAGCUGAUUAUUGGGUUCUUCGUUCUCUAUUUCCUCUAAUGUAAAAAUUUGAGAUCGUGAGAUUUGUUCUUUUCGCAACAAUCGCAAGGAUUUUUUAAUUUCUGGAUCGUAUUCGACUAGUUCUCUAGAAGAGGAAUGAGUCAUA
RNAcentral lists this long non-coding RNA (2734 nucleotides) under Nicotiana tabacum (common tobacco). RNAcentral's name for it is "long non-coding RNA (NTAB_LNC017985)". The record is from RNAcentral. Lineage: Eukaryota; Viridiplantae; Streptophyta; Magnoliopsida; Solanales; Solanaceae.